GACUCCGAAGAGGAGGAGCAGGUAGAACACCAAUCGUACUCGGCGAAGUAGGGUCCCCAGCGCUCCCCGAAGGCAUUCUGCAGAGCCAGGAAUGAGGAGUCUGGAGAGACGGCCGAUUCCGGGACAGGAGGAGGGAAGUACCAUAAAAGUCUGAGGGAAUGUUCUACGUUGAAGAACACAAAGGAACCAUGGCAACUGUGUAGAACACCUGAUCCCUCUGGUGAGAAUGUUAGAGAGCAUAGCUGUGGAACGACUGACAAAAAUUGGGACAUGGGCAAUUAAUAGCCAUAUGAUGCUAAAUCUACUGUGGUAAUUAUGAUAAUGUUGGAGAAGACCCUUCCUCUUGGGAAAUAAACAGGGAAGGCUAUGGUCGUACAUGGCUGAACUGGAUAUGACUUCCUCUCAAAUGGUUUGGAAAUACACUGCGUGUGUACAUUGUGUACACACAGUUCGGAAAUGCAGUGUGUGUGU
Molecule: long non-coding RNA, 471 nt
Organism: Mustela erminea (ermine)
Lineage: Eukaryota; Metazoa; Chordata; Mammalia; Carnivora; Mustelidae
Exons: 3
Source: RefSeq, a predicted model, not a curated record